Triticum dicoccoides is the source of this 963-nucleotide long non-coding RNA. RefSeq lists it as uncharacterized. The record is from RefSeq and is a predicted model, not a curated record. The transcript is spliced from 6 exons. NCBI's taxonomy places the organism in Eukaryota, Viridiplantae, Streptophyta, Magnoliopsida, Poales, Poaceae.
UCUAACUAACAAUCUGAAAUGAUGUGCAGGCUGCUGGAUUCACAGAAGAUGCUUGUUCGAGGUGUCACGGCGUCGGACGCAUAGGAGUAGGAGCCCGUGGAGCUCGACCUCAGCAUGAACGGCACCAUCCACCCCUGAUUCCACCCCGAGGGCUGGGCUGCUAGAUUUACUGAAGAUACUUGUUCGAGGUGUCACGGGGUAGUAAGUUGAUCCUCCUUUGGUUUGCUUGAGGGGUAGUAGCCCGCCUUCUCAUCGAUUGCCCGCUGGGAGAGGCGGUGGUGGUCACUGCUUCCUCCGUCCUGUUUGCACCGCCUCCUCCAACACUGCACCACUUGCUGUACGUACAGACCGCUAGAGAUUGACUGAAGAUGCUUGUUCGAGGUGUCAUGGGGUAAUUAGUUAAUCAUCCUCUGGGUUGCUUGAGGGGGACAAGCCCACCUUCUCCUCGAUUGUUUGCUGGGAGAAGCGGUGGUGGUCACUGCUUCCUGCGUCGUGUUUGCAUCGCCUCCACCAACAUUGCCACUUGUUGUACGUACAGCACCCCCGGUGAGCUUGGCCUUGUGGACGGGGACUAAAGCAGGAUAGCUCGUCACCGAGGGUGCUCGCGUGGCUGAUGGUGGCCGUGACGAGGGUGCUCAAGGUUGACGCCACAUCCACCCAAGACCUAGCCCGCCUUCUCCAGACCCGCGCACUGCGUGAUGAGGGGGCAGCCACUGCUUCCUCCACCAUGUUCCACUGACACCGUGCUGCUUGCUUGUUGUAUGUACAGAUGGGAUUGGGCCAACGUUACUAGUCCUCGGGCAACAAGGAAUAGCAGGUGUAAGCCAUCAGUCUUCUGUUUUCCAGAACAACAGUCUUGCCUUCGUAGUAUGAGCUCUGAACAGCAAGGCCCCAACCAAGCCCAUGAUGGCUAGACAGUACAGCAAUGCAUCAUCAUUGGACUAUGCUGCCAUUCUUAGUUCA